This 85-nucleotide transfer RNA is filed under the name Caudoviricetes sp. RNAcentral describes it as "tRNA-Cys". It matches the Rfam family "tRNA". Rfam says of the family: Transfer RNA (tRNA) molecules are approximately 80 nucleotides in length. Their secondary structure includes four short double-helical elements and three loops (D, anti-codon, and T loops). Further hydrogen bonds mediate the characteristic L-shaped molecular structure. tRNAs have two regions of fundamental functional importance: the anti-codon, which is responsible for specific mRNA codon recognition, and the 3' end, to which the tRNAs corresponding amino acid is attached (by aminoacyl-tRNA synthetases). tRNAs cope with the degeneracy of the genetic code in two manners: having more than one tRNA (with a specific anti-codon) for a particular amino acid; and 'wobble' base-pairing, i.e. permitting non-standard base-pairing at the 3rd anti-codon position. Lineage: Duplodnaviria; Heunggongvirae; Uroviricota; Caudoviricetes. The record is from RNAcentral.
GUGCAUGUGCCUGAGUGGUCGAAAGGAGCGGUCCGCAAAACCGUUGGAGCAAUCCCUCGCGAGUUCGAAUCUCGCCAUGUACUCA